UACAGAGGUCUCGAGCGUUAGGCGGAAUCACUGGGCUUAAAGCGUGUGUAGGUGGAUCGUUAAGUACCUUGUGAAAUCCCACGGCUUAACCGUGGAACUGCUUGGUAUACUGGCGGUCUUGAGCCAGCUAGGGGCUACCGGAACAAAUGGUGGAGCGGUGAAAUGCGUAGAUAUCAUUUGGAACGCCAAUGGUGAAAACAGGUAGCUGGGAGUGUGCCGACGCUGAGACACGAAAGCCAGGGGAGCGAACGGG
Molecule: ribosomal RNA, 253 nt
Filed under: uncultured bacterium
Lineage: Bacteria
Description: partial 16S ribosomal RNA
Rfam family: Bacterial small subunit ribosomal RNA
Source: RNAcentral